GGGUGCGAUCAUACCAACACUAAUGCACCGGAUCCCAUCAGAACUCCGAAGUUAAGCGUGCUUGGGCGAGAGUAGUACUAGGAUGGGUGACCUCCUGGGAGGUCAUCGUGUUGCACCGC
This 119-nucleotide ribosomal RNA is filed under the name Eucalyptus grandis. The record is from RNAcentral. Lineage: Eukaryota; Viridiplantae; Streptophyta; Magnoliopsida; Myrtales; Myrtaceae.